This 473-nucleotide ribosomal RNA is filed under the name uncultured bacterium. Its description in RNAcentral is "bacterial SSU rRNA". It matches the Rfam family "Bacterial small subunit ribosomal RNA", at positions 44 to 507 of the family's 1533-position model. The record is from RNAcentral.
AUGCCUUACACAUGCAAGUCGAACGGCAGCACGGGAGCAAUCCUGGUGGCGAGUGGCGAACGGUGAGUAAUAUAUCGGAACGUGCCCAGUCGGUGGGGGAUAACGUAGCGAAAGUUACGCUAAUACCGCAUACGCACUAAGGUGGAAAGUGGGGGGAUUCGCAAGAACCUCAUGCUCAUGGAGUGGCCGAUAUCUGAUUAGCUAGUUGGUGAGGUAAAGGCUCACCAAGGCGACGAUCAGUAGCCUGGUUUGAGAGAACGACCCAGCCACACUGGAACUGAGACACGGCCCAGACUCCUACGGGAGGCAGCAGUGGGGAAUUUUGGACAAUGGGCGCAAGCCUGAUCCAGCAAUGCCGCGUGCAGGAUGAAGGCCUUCGGGUUGUAAACUGCUUUUGUACGGAACGAAACGGUGAGCUCUAAUACAGUUUGCUAAUGACGGUACCGUAAGAAUAAGCACCGGCUAACUACGUG